UUAUGGGCACUGUGAUGGUGAAAUUUUUUUACAAAAGGUGUAGGACAGAUAAGCUUUUUAAGUACAGAAACGUAGCUUUUGCUGAAAUAAUGGUUGCCCAGAUAUCUUUAGGCUUUCAAAUGAUGCUAUGUAAAUAUGUCAAGAUCGUCAAUUGAUGCGUGAAUUAAAUGACUGACAUAUUCUUGCAUAGAGUUGUCUUAAGGUUGCAUUCACUGUCAAAUGCCAUGCAUUUGUCGUGUGCCCUGCAGCUGUCUCCUCCCCAUGUUGUCGACCUUUCCUUCAAUCCAGAUUUUGGUAAUUGACUUCAGAUGAAACAAAGAUACGAUAGUAGACAUGUUUCUGACAGUCAAAGGUGUCUCGCACGCUUAUGUUGAUUCAGUUCUUGAUCUGGCUUCGCACGCUUAUGUUUCAUUCAAAUCGUUCCCAAACCACAAGAACAUAACCAGUCAAAAGGCGCCAGCAGCGAAUACAAUUCAGACAUAAUCCAAAAAUAAAAAAUAAAAUGCGACGCAUUGUCGAAUCAACAGUACACAAUUCGCAAACCUCCCCUUCCCCACCAAGCCUGAAUUUAGGCAUAAUCAGGCAGAAACGCGAGGCGUUGACGAAUUGACACUACACGAUAAGCAAUCCCCCCCUUCCCCUAAUCCUGAAUUCAGGCAUAAUCAGAAGAAACACGACGUGUUGACAAAUCGUCAACGAACAUUACCCCCACAGUUACCAAACGAAUUCGAGCCAUGAAUCUACUCCAGAUCAUCUCCAACCCAGCGAAAGCCAAUUUAACCCCCACGAAAACACGAUUAAACAGCGCAGCUUGAUCCGAAGAAACCAUCGCCUCCGACCCAAUCCAUAAUGGACUAUCAGAUAAACAAAUUUGAGGAAUUCCUCUCAGCACAACCAACCCAGGCAACAAAUAUAUUUUUGAAAAUAAAAGAGAGAAUGUAACGAAAAUGCGUUGGGGUAAUCUAGCAUCGUGAAGUCCCAUAAUCCAUUUACUCUCUCUCACACACUUUAUUUGGGUUCCUAACUGACCCAUCAAAAGCUUAUUAGGUCUCGCGGUGAUGCUUGGCCUUGAUUGAUGGCACGGCGAGGGUGGGUGGUCUUGACGUGAUGUGACUCACGUCCGUGGGGUGGUGCUUAUGCGGCUCUCGGUGAAUCCAAGUCAACAAUUGAAUCUCUCUGUGAAGCUUCAUUGAGUUUGCCUAUGGCCAACAAAGCACCCAAAGUACCAAGUUUUCCCCCCAUUCCCUGGGGAAUUUCUCACGCCACCAUGUCAAACAUAUUGCUCGAUCUAGUCUUUUUAUUUAUUAUUGUGGAUAUAUGUUAUGAUGAUUGUCUCUCAAUGUUAGUAAUUUCUUUUGGUUGGAUUGUUUUCAAGAUAUUGUUUCCGGGUUGCCACAUACAAUUUAUAUUUUAACAGUGGAUAUAAUUUAAGAUUGGGAAGGACUUGAAGAUCUAUGUAGCAAUUGUUGUUUAUAUGUAUGGGUGUGGAACUCGAUAUGUGAUACGUAUGACCCCAUAUUUGAGGUUGAUGGGUUAUCACAAAUUCGUACGAGAACAGCACCAAAGAGAGUAAUCAUCGGACGGAACUUUAACUCAAAGAGAGAGGGUGAGCCAAGCGAGUCCAACUGGGCAAGGGUAUUGAGUGUGUGAAAGCCCACAACUUAGUGAUAAUGGUGGCGGCAGCGAUGGCCAACUAGUACCAAUAUGCUCAAGCAUCUAGUGGUGGAGGUGGCACCAAGUCUUGGGGCCAGUAUAGGUGGGUGACUUUGGAAGCGCUACCAAUGGCCACGACUAAGUGUAGCAUAAUUGCCAAGUUCGCUCAUGGCGGUGGCGGCAUUAAAUCACAAUGACUAUGAGCAGCAAGUGAUGAAAUUGUUUUGAGUCCGAAGGUAGCUCAGUUUGUUCUCUUACUCUCUUUUUCAUAUUCUCCACGCUGUAAAUAAGGGUUUGCUUAUGGUGCCGAGAGCACAAUGUUGAAAGCCGUCGGGUCAUUUUUAUCAAAGUACGAUACAAAGCAUUUUGAGUUACAACAUCUCAAUGAUAAUUACAUGAAAUAAUUAUAUUUACAAUCAAAUUCACAUUUGACACAUUAUUAAUGUGUUACGUAACACAAUGCUACACAUCUAAAAUAUGAAUUUUCACACAUUUAAUUACCCUUCUCGCCUAAUUUGAACUUUGAUUUAGCAAGAAUAGCAUUUCAUCUUCCAUCGACCAGAACAAAGUCACUAACACGUACAUGUUCUAAUCAAUCUCCAUUGUGGAAAUGGCUUCAUCUAUUAUUUCCUUAAGUUCCUUCAUUCUUUGCCCGGUCAAUGCAACGCAUUCCUGCAAGCACAGCGACAUUUCCCAUCAUCAUCACAUUAAAGCUACCAUUUGGACUAUUAUACAAUCUCUAUAUGAAAGGCGUUGAAAGGUAUACACCCCAUAUAUAUAGUUUUUCCCUUUCUUUCCCUGGGAUAGAAAUAGAUUCAUUUUAAAAACCAAGGAAAUGAAAACAUUAAAAUGAAAGAUCAACCAGAUGGGCCAAGGAACUACCAACAUCCUAAAGUCCACUAAUCCUGGCAAAUAACUACGUGUGGGUAAUCAUGUAUAUAAAAGCAGACGCAGUUGCUUAUCCAAUGAGCGCUACAUUACUUCGUAUAUUUCAGGCUAUUAGCUCUUGAAAACACUCGCAGCUGGAUUGUCAUGUCAUCCGCUGAACCACCAUAAGCUUAUCAACUUCCACAAGUUCUGGAGUGUUCUAAAUGCCACAUUGGGCUUGUCCACUAACCAACCACGAGUUACUUUAAAGAACUCAAGAUCUGUUUUUUGCACAAUUAAACUGACUGGAGUACAGUUAGAGCAAGAAUGCAGUUGACUCAACAGUAUCAAAGCCACCAACCAUUUGAUCCCUAUCGCACGAAACAGGGCCUCUAAGUACAAUUCUCAAACAAUGAAUGAACAACUAAAUAAAUGAGGAAUGAGGAGAAAAUAACCUGAAUAGCUGAUGUAUGUGCAAGAACCGGUCCACCUGGCUUAUAGAGAGAGACAAGUUGACCAGAUGAAUUCAAAACCACAGUCAUGAACGUUUCCAAUAUGGACUCUUCGAAAGUAGGGUCUGCCAAGAUGUGGUUCUUGUGAAGAAUGCAAAUCAGGGAAAACGGAAUGCUUUUCAACAAGAGUUUUCUCCUCUCUUUGUCGACAGGUUCUUUAUCCAACUUUUCACCCUCAAGUUCCUCAGAGACCAUCACCAUUCUCCCUUCAUCAUUCAAAGAAACCCCUGGGAUACGCACUACAAGGUCCAAAACAACACGACUUGUCAAGUGAUUGUCCAGGAAGUGACAUGAAAUCCCCAGAAGAAUAGAGGGGAAGACAUGAAAUCCCCAGAAGAAUAGAGGGGAAAAAAAAACACAUAGCAUGAUAUGAGGAUGCAAUCUUUGGUACCACACUCAAAGAAUAUCAAAAGUGAGAACGUAAACAAGGCAUGACAGAUGCAGCAAAAGAAAAGGAAAAAGCCUUUUGAAUGUUCGUCAAAUGAAAAAUCAUUGAUAGGAGCCAGAUCUUCCUUAAAUCAUAAGUUUCAACCUGAGAUUAUUGCACUGGAAAUCCAAACAUCUAGGACGAUGUUCAAUAGAAUCACGAAACUUCUCGAAUUUUCAAUGAAGCCCUGUAACUUCUUAAGAGAUUGCAUGAGCAGUUUGUAUAAGACCGGUGCUCUUAUCCAUCUCAUUGAAGAAUAGAGGAUUAUUGAACUGGGUCUUCCUUUAUUGGUAGAGAAAUGAGAAACCAUGAAAUGUUUGACAUCAACGGCUUUCCUGGUCUGAUCAAAAUCAGGCUAAGAGCACAAAGGAAGAUUUUGUCGAUCACCAUUGACUUUAGCAAAGGCGUGUGGCAUAAAUACGACUCUUCCUGCCUUAGGUGAUUCAUAUUGCUUUUCUCUGUCAGCAGCUCCUAGCAAAUAUUUAUUUGAAAUGCAAAUUGGUAGAGCUAAAGUCCCUUCAUAAGCAAAUCACCUUAAGAAUUUAUUAAGCUAGAGCUAUCUGACAUUCAUAAGCAAGUCACACAUCUUUUCCAAUCAUAGACAACUGCAAUUUGAAGCAUGAUCACAAGAUGUAAUAUAUUGAAGAUCCACUUUAUAUCAACUCACAAAAGUCAUCACCCAAUUGGUAGAAUAGGCUAUGCAAGAAAAAGAAAGCCAAAAAUCAAGUUAAACAAAAAUGUCACCAUCUAAAUUGUAAAGCAGGAACUAUCUUACCAUGAGAAAAUGCAGCAACCGCUGAAAGCAAAGCAGCAUCAAAAAGAGCUCCAUCAGCAUCAAGACUAUAUAUAUCCUGCAACACAUGAAAAAUAAAUGUAAGCAAGAACAUUUUGAGCCAACAUGUAUGGUAUUUAUUGAAGUAGCUCUCCCAGCAAAAAGUUGCCCCCAGUCACAAGGUCCAAAGAUUAAUGCAGCUAAAAGGAAAACCCUGCACUCUAUCCUAAAUUACGCAUCACAACAUCUGGCAUGAAGUAUUACCAGGUACACCAUCCAAGCUGCUUCUCCUUUGAUCAGGAAUAGCUCCUUCAGAUCAAUCAUUCCAGAGCUGCAAUAACCAAAUGAUUACUGAUUCCAGCAUAUGAAUAUUAACCAGCACAUGACCCAAGAAGGUAUUAAAACAUAAAAUUGUUUUAAGAAACUGCAAUAUAAUUGUCCAAGAAUUAAAUGACACAAUGACCAGUGCCAAAGGAAGAUAAGAAAGCACAAAUCAUGGACUUGAGGGAAACCUUAUGACCCAUUUAGUAAGGUAUGUAGUAUUAACUCUAACAGCAUCCUUCGAUGAUAAUCUACUACCUUUGAACCUAUGGGUUAUUUUGGGACACAAAUUGAUCAUAAGAGAAUAUAUGGGGAUCUGGACUUAGUAGAACCUGUAGGAACCCUUCCAAGUGUACUCGCAAGGUAUCUGCAACUAAAUUGAAGCUGUGCAGGGCCGACAUCUCCAUGAAGUGUAGGUCACACUGAAAAAGUGAAUGGUCUUUCCUCCACCUUCCCUUCGGGAAACAAAUUGGUAUUUGAGUUUGAAUGCUUGGAAACACACUAUGAAAGCCAGAGCAAAGAAAAAUCAAUGUUUUCCUGUAACCAAGAGCAAGUUUACUCUUCACAUAAUCUCUAUCCUGAAUACAAGUCUAAGUGACAACAAACCCUUUUAACUUCUGUGGCAUUCAGUAGACUUUCCAAAGAGUUAUCCCACUUUGUUUAUUUGAGAGUUAGCAGCAGGCUUUACGGGGCCAAGAUUGGUGCUACUCCACAUGAUCUGUGUAAACUUAUUGCUAACUGAUCAAGUGACUUUCUGAAGUUUUGCUUCAACAGAAGAGUAACAUUACAUGCCUAUUUAGUAGACUCAAUGGAAUUUUCCUUAUUGAAAACAAUCAAAAAGUUCGGUCAAAAUAGUCACAGGCACAAGGUGGAUACGGUUUGGAACUUUAUGCCUUUCAUAUGCAUUAGCAAGACACCAACAAAUAUACAGAUGGCAUACAACAAGGUAUUGUUAAUAGCAUAUCACCCUUCCCCUGAAGCAACAGGAGAAAAAUAAAAGAUUUAAAAAGUCAAAGCAAGCUGGAAAAAAAGAAAAUGGAACUUUACCAAUUUCACAUGCCUUAAUAAAGAGUCAAAAGUUGCUUUGACGUUACUGGUGCUGCCUCAGCAGGCCUACCUGGCCUCACGACUGGAGAGCAUAUAGGGGGCAUAUGAAACUCAACCGCUGAAAAUAACACAAAGUCACACGACAGCGUCACACAAACCCUAGUAAAAAGAAAAUUGAUCAACUGGUACAUGGCUGCUUACCUAUACUGCCUUCACCAGGUGAAUAAACAGGAGUCAUGACUUCUAUUUUUAUAGCAGCCAACAUUGUCUGUGGAAAAUAUGAUUGCGCGUGCUUUAAUUAAAUGUACUGGCAAAAGAGCAAACCCUAUAACCUUCACAACAAUAACAAUUAAUGUCCACCUUAAAUGAUUUGCUCACAUGUAAAAGUUAAACAACAAAUCAAAUAAAAAGGAAAAGAUAGAAUUUUUAUGUUGGUUCAGCUACAAGUAAAUACAGAUGCAACUACUUUGAACAUGCUUAAGUGCAGGAGGGCGUUGGCAUAUGCAUCACAUUGACACAAGAGACUGAAGAGGUGAAAAACUCAUGGUGGAACCAAUCUUUGCCAGCAGAGACCCGUCAGAGGAUGCAACAGCCCCUGCAUUAUCAAUGCUAAUCAAUGACAGGAGGAAUACAACUUGCGUGGGCUUGAUGAAGGAGGAAAAAACAAAUCACCAGAUAAACAAAAAGCUAAACGAACUGACCGAGGGACACAAUCGUAUCUCUGGUUUUUUUCCAGGGGUCUAGCAUCGGGCGUAUCGAUUCGGAGAGAUGCCGCUCAUAGUAGUGAACGGGGAAGAGGCGUCUGAAAGCAUUGACCUCCAUCUCCGACGACCAAUCUCCGGCAGCAUUCGGCGUCCCCAUUUUAUGGCUAUCUACAGAUGGAGAUUUCCGGCAAAGAGAACCGAGAUUAAAACUGCGAAUUAAAAAGAGCCCAUUAAGGUUAACCCCAUAUAUGUCCCAACUCUUUACAAAAAAUUGAAAUUUACUGAUAAAACACUAAAAUUUGUGCCAACCCACGAGCAAGGUGAGAGCAACCAUCUGGUUUUCUCAAAAAGGAACGGUUUUUUUUCCUCUGGGCAGCAUUUAUUCAAGCACACUAGACAUAUACAAGUGAGAAGUUUCGACGAAGGACUCAGAAGAUAAUAAGGCAAUCUCUCAGCAUCGCAUACGGUUCAAAAGCAAUAAAACAAACAGAUGGAGAUCGUGCACGAGUAAAAGAGUAAAGAUGGAGUCUUUCGGAAGAAGCACCAAUCUCCGAAGUAACCCGGCUGUUACCUGUAAGCUCGAAGCCCAGCUCCGAUGCCGGUAGCCACAAAGAGAGAGACGUUAGGUUAAGAGCAAGAGCAAGAGCAAAAUCGGCGCGAAUAAUGCCGAGCUUUUGCAAAAUAUAUUCGUCAAAUUGAAUUUUUUUUUUCCGACCAAAAAACAAGUUAGUGCUUUCGCCUCGUACACAUGCAGAUCGAAAUGCUGACGUGAUUUUUCAUUGAUUAGUUUUAAAAAAAAAUCUAAAUAACGACAUGAAGUAUUAUUAUUCUCUCAAAUAAGAGUCCAAAGUAUACGUUAUUUUAAAUAAAAGGCCCGAAGUGACCAAAUCGUCUCAAAUAAAAGUGGAACUUAUUAAAUUAAGCAUAUUAGUUUUAAAAAAGGGAUUUAACCUCUCUGAUUGAAGAGCAUUUCCAUCUUUUAUCUUAAAAAAAAAAUCUUUUUUUUUUCUUUUUUCUUUUUCCCUCUUCCCUUUAUUGGCCAUGGCGAAGGGAAGUUGAAAGGGUCGCCCUCACGUCGAGUGAGGGUAGCCCUCAACCGAUGCCCUCGCCCACGUCAAAUGAGGGUUGCCCUUGUCUAACUCAGGCGACGCCCUCACCAACCUAGGGGAGGGUUGCCCUCGCUUGGCUUAGGCAAGAGUCACCCUUGUCGGAUCUAGCGAGGGCUACUCUCGCUUGACGCUAGCGAGGGUGACCUUCGCCAAGCAUCAACGACCAUGUCCAAAGAAGGGAAGAGGAAAAAGGAAAAGAAAAUAAAAAAGGAAUAAUUUUUUUUUUAAAUAUAGUUAUAAUUUUUUUACCAAAAUACCCCUUCUCUUAUGUCUGGAAAAGUCAGCCUUGGUCAAAGACCCUUAUUUGAGAUGAUUUGAUCACUUUAUGCCCUUAUUUGAAAUAAUUUGGUCACUUCAAGUUUUUAUUUGAAACAAUAUCUACUUUAACCCUUAUUUAAGAAAAUUAGGAUACUUCAUGCCCUUUUUUGAAAUUUUCCCUUAAUUUAAUUAUAGUUGUGGAAAGGAAAGGGUGGAAAAAUUACAAUAAAAAAAAAACCUAGAGAGAAAAAAAGUGAGUGCGAAAGAGAGAGAGAGAGAGAGAGAGAGAGAGAGAGGGAGGGAGAGAGGGUUGUCCAAGGUCGACAAACCUCACCGACUAAGGUGAACCGACAAUGUUGUCACCAAUUGAGUUGGAUUUUUUUUUUUUUUGUGGCUAAAGAAAGAAGGGCAAAUACCACAAAAGCCCCAAAUUAGGUCAAUUAUGACAUAAAUACUCCGAAUUUUUUUUUGUCAAGGAAAAGAAACUUGAACCUAUAUUAUUUAUUUACUCCGAAUUUUUUUUUGUCAAGGAAAAGAAACUUGAACCUAUAUUAUUUAUUUCAAUUCUAUCCAAGAUAUAUUUAUCACAUUAGUAUAAGUUUGGAAUUUGUUAUGUUAUAAAAAAAUUCGAGGUAUUUAUGUCACAAUUGACAAAUUUAAGAUUUUUUUAAUGAUUUUAACCUAAAAAAGAAUUGGACCCAUUUAACUAUGGUCUUUGGAAUAGUUUGAAAUUUUGGGAACGUGGAAAUUCGUUUGUUGCUUCUUUGUUCCUUGUACCCACGGGCAACGGAAUACUUAGAAUUAGAGUUGAUUUUGAUGUCAAUGAUGGAAGAUCGGAGCAUUUAAGGUGAUUUGAAAAUUAGGUCAAGAGAAUAUCUGCAUCUCAUGUAGAUUGGGAGGGACUUGAAGAUCUAUGUGGCCAUUCUUGUUGGAGUUCUUUCUUGAUUUAUGCAACUCGCCGCGCAAAGUCACUUUGGGUGACGGUUGUUGAGGGGUCCAAGCGAGCUGAUGUAACCACCGUCGGUAGCUAUACCAUUGCCUAUACUCUUUUUUUCUUUGUUUACAUACAUGUGAACGCAUGGGCAUUUUUAUGUUCAGUGAUGGAGGUAUGCUAUCUGAACAAUGGAUAUCCAUUCAUGAGCACCUAUUACUGCUAAGCCACGAACUUGAACUAGGAGAUCAACAGAUAGCCCUAGGAUCUCGUACAAUGGAACUCACGUUUAUGGACCUGAACGAACCCAUUAGCAUGAAACAUUUUUUUUAUCCCUCAUUUUGAAGAAAUAAAGGUAUUUACAUGCUUAAAACUCAAAAUACUAGACCUACUUUGGCUAAGGAAAUGCAAUUGUAUCUCCUCAAAAUUCUUAAUUUUUUUUUUACCAAACAGGACAAGAACAUAUAAAGCUUAAAGGCUUUGAAAAAGUAAUUUUUGAAUUCACCCUUGUUGUCAAAUGACACGUGGCAACUAAGUGCUCAUGUUUUCCCCUUUUUUUUAAGAGAUAAUUUUAAUUUAAUCUAAUUUAAAUUUAACUUGUAUUUUAAGGAAAUUAUCUCUUAUCAGCCGAAAAUUGGGUAGCAUUGAUGGGACUCCCGUGCCCUACACAAAUUUGAGAGCCAUGAAAAGACAAGGUAAGAUAAUUGUCAAUUGAUUAGUUGUUUCGACCCAUUUAGUUUAUCCAAUUAAUUUGACCAUAUGAAUAGCAAUCAAUUUCAAUCGCAUGGCUAAAUGGGGAUCACACUCCGUCGAGGGAUAUGAACUUUUCCAAAAGGUGGGGACUUUUAGGGAGUCCAAUUCAUUUCAGUUUGGAAUUUCCAAACUGAAACAGACUUAGGGUGUCCGAAUCAUUUCAGUUUGGAAUUUCCAAACUGAAACUGACUGAUUCGGUCGGACUCCCUAAAAGUUCCCACCAAAUUCCAAACUGAAAUGAUUUGGAAAACAGAGCGUCCUAUAAAUACCAGCGAGUCGCAACUCUCCGCUAAUCAACAUUGUCUGUCCAUUUUGGUCUACACACGAAAGGAAAGACUAGAGAGAGACGGAAGAUCUCGGGAGGCUUUGCGCAAACGAGGACGCUCGCUCGGGUUGCUCCUACCCUCCUCUGCACUCAUCCACGUCCCAGCUCCAGCCCCGUGAGCGACGACGACGGCACUGCCCUCUCCUCCCGCCAAACCUAUCUGAUGUCAUUCCCCUCUCUCCCAAAAAAUAAAAAAAAUCCUCCCUCAAAUUUGGGAUUUUGAAGCUGAGAGCCUGUUUUGAGCUGCAUUUCUUCUUCUCUAGACCUUGAUUCCUUUUGUUCUCUUGUUUCGCUGGGCCCGGCCCGGCGGGAGGCUGUCGUGUCCAUCGCCGAACCUAACGAGCUGCCGCUCCUUCCCACACCUCCGACUACCGGAGACGACGCGGCUUCUCUCUGUCCCAAGCCGCAGCUGUUGCAUCAUGAUCUCGAGCCUGUUUUCGUUGGCUCGGCGUCCCUUGCGGCUUCGUCUUGCAUCGCUACCCGCAGCCGAAAGUCACUACCGAGACGAAUCACCAAUCGUCGGCCGAAUCGCGGCCGCGUGCACCUCGCCGAACCACUACCGUGGCCAUCCUUCGCCAGGGAGCACCGUACCGGUCGUCCGUCGAGCCAAUUCCGAUGAAGUCCAUCCUGUGAAUUUAGGUAAAAUCUCGUCCGAAUUUGUUUGUGGUUUCGCAUGCGAUUGUGCACUCUGAGCAGAAAUCCCCUUCGCUAAAUCUAUUUGCACACGCCUUCAGCUUCUAGAUGAUCUUUUUUUCUUCUUCUUCUUUCGUGUCUGUGUACUGACCGCUUACCAUUAACAUACAGUGUGUUCCCGAGGAUCUCCGUCUUCGUCUCUCUGUGCUCUGCCGGGGAAGCAUUCCAAAAACCUCAGCUCACUUCCUAGCCAGGCCACGCCACACCAAGUUACCAACCCUUUUUUCUCUUCUGGGGAGGGAGAGAGAGGUCUGGAAGUAAUACGCUUCCCAGAUAUGGCACACUCAAAGGCCAGAGCGAUGUGUUCUUGAGUUUUAGUGGAGUGGAUACUCGUUUUGACUUCACAGACUUCCUCAAUAAAGACUUGAAUAAUGCCGGAAUCCGCAUAUUCAGGGACGAAGAGUCAAUCAAGGUGGGUGAUAAGAUUGGUGAGACAAUUCUACAAGCUGUCAACAACUCCAAAAUCUACAUACCCAUCAUCUCUCAAACUUACCCUAACUGCAAAUGGUGUCUUUUCGAGCUUGAACGCAUGAUGAACAAUGUGUCUCAAUCAGAGGGUAGAAAAAGGAUUUUCCCCCUUUUUUAUAAAGUGGAACCUGGGGAUGUUAAACAUAUGACUCCAUGCCCUGACAAUCUUCCCUCCGAAGUUGAACUUAAGGCGCUCAAAGAGACUUGCAAAGAUUGGUCAAAUCAAGGGAUGGAAGGUCGAGGAGUGACAAAGGUAAAACUACCUUUAAGAUGCCUGCCUAAUUCUUCUUUUUUUUUUUUUUUAAGGGGAUAAAACAUUGCCCUAUCAAAUCAUUUAUCUUCUUCUUCUUUUUUAAAUGGAAAAUUUUGAAAACUGCCUUCAACUACAAGUGCUGCUCCUAUUGAACUUUAUAUCCUCUACUGGAGACAUCUUUCCUAAUAUUUCAGUUGUUAUAGCUACUGCUAGCGCUGGGGAAUAUGUCACAGGUUUUGGGAUUAUUCAAUUUGUCAUCACCAAAUUGCAGUGUUCAAAGGAUGACCUAGAAUUUGCCUACAUUUUCUCCCUAUUACUAGUGCUGAAAAUCUUUUCUAGGCUUAGCUAUAAAUGCCGAAAUUUUGCUUGGGCACCAUGUGGUAGCCACUUGGUAAUUUCAGCCAUCAUGUAGACCACUACCAAAUAGAAAAAGGCAUCUGGUGAAUUGAAUUCUACUAAAUUAGCCUAUACUGAUUAUUCUGUGUAUUUAGAUAUUGUUCGUAACCACGUGCGAUGUGUGGGUAUGAAUUAAAUCUAGUCAACUAAUGAAAGCGCUUUUGUGUAUGGCAGCCAAGCAAAAAUUGUCGAUUUGGUCGUUCGAAAGGUUUUGGAGGAGCUAGGUAGAAAAGAUGAGUCACAGACUGAGCAUCCAAUUGAGCUUGAUGACUUGACACAGUCACUUGAAGACUCUUAUAAUCGUGCAGUGAUGGUACCAUAUCUUCUCCCUCGUUAGUAUACAAUUGGCGGACAUGAAUGCAUGGAUUUGAAAUUUGAAUUGUUCUAACCUCGGCUUGAUGCUUUAAUUUGGUGAAAUUACACGGAUUGCAAGAAGUUAAAUGUUAUUCAGAAAUUUACAUGGACAAAAAUAUAUUUUCCGAUCAAUUAGUGUUCCUUCAACACAUUCUUUUUGGUUGGAAAUGUUGUUUCCUAUAAAUUAAAUGAGUACACAAAUACAAGUCUCAUAAACUGUAAUUUUUAAAAUUAUUUCUUGCUGUAUAAUUCAUUGUCGGAUGUUGUGUGAUGUGAUGAUUUUUUUUUUUUCAUACUAUUUGCAACAAUCGCCCUUUUGAACAUUCACAUUGUUGCGUACUAGCCUGCAGAUUUCGAAAAUGGUUUAGCUUAUCCCCUACCUUCUCUAGUUUUUCAGUAUGCAUGACCAUCGAAUGUUACCUAAAAUCUUGUUGUCCUAAAGCAUUAGGACAGGAGGCCAUUCUCCAAAGAUCGAUUAGCAAAAGCGUGGCUUUGUUAAAGCUCGACAGAUUCUCCAACCCCAUUCUGCCUCCCGUUUUCUGCCUUUGCUAGUUCCUCCCAUCUUCUCCGGCGUAUUCGAUUGCCAUUUUAGAAUUUUUCCAACAAAAAAAAAAAAAUCUGAUUUUUCGCUGGAUUGCCCUGCAAACAGAGACUGGAGUUUUAAAUAUUGACAUGGCAUGGGUUGGCAGUGCAUGCGCUACUGUUUUAAUAAGUACUUUUUUCCUAGCUUUCAACAGUCUCUUUUCCUUUCCUCCCCCCACCCCCCUUCAAGUUUCGAAAAUUCUUCCAUACAAUGAAUUGCAAAAGACAGAUCUCAUUUUUUGGGACAGUGUAUGAAAUUUUACUUAUUUUUACCACCUUGACAACAGUUUUUGGUUGUCAGCAAGAUAAACAUUGCAAGAUACAUCUUUACCCAAAAAAUAACAUUGCAAGUUACAAAGUAAUCUUUAGGAGCCACGCGUGUCUUGAUGUGGAUCAUUAUAUGAAGUACAUAGAUGUGGUAGUUUAUAUGUGCCAAUAGGAAUUGGUCAAGCUAAAUUUUAGCACUAUACCGUUCAAAGAAAAUUUUAUUUUCUUUUCUUUUUUAUCGAAAUAAUUCUAUUGACCCCAAUUUUCAAGUAACCGUAGGAGUAUAAACAAUAUGUUCCACAAGAAACCUAAUCUGUUCUUGAUUAGAUGAUUAGUGAGAAAAAAUUAGCAUUAUCUUAAUUGUGCAGUGCUUAAAACUUUUGUGAAAUUUCAAUGCGGUCCAAGUGCAGCGAUAUGCCGGAAGAGAGAGCCUAAGCAGAGGAAGUAUAGGGAGAGGGACGAGUCUAAGCAGUACUAGUACAGAGAGGAGAUGGAGGAAUCUAAGCAUAAAUAGGAUGGAGGGCAUGGACAUGGAGGAGGCUAGGGUGAGUACAGGGAGGAGUGGAAUCAAAGGGAGUCUAAGCAUAAAUAGGAUGGAGGACAUGUACAUGGAGAAGGGCAGUGGGAGUACAGGGAGGAGGGGGAGAAGUGGAAGCAGCGGAAGCGGAGGGAGCAGUGGAAGCAGCAGAAGAGGGAGGAGCGGGAGCAGUGGAAGCAGCAGGAAUGGCAGCGGGGAAGAGGAAGUGGGGGAAGCAGUGAGAGGAAGUUUUCAAGAUAUUUGUUUGGGGGCGUUCUUGGUGUGCCUUUUUUGUGCAUUGUGUUUUAGCCUUUCUCUGCUUAAUAACAAGGAAACAAGUCGAUAAACAGAUGGGUUAUGGAUGCUUCUUUCAUUUUUUGAUCAGCAUGGGAUGGUAAACGGUGCCGUUCAAACUUGUAAGGAGAUUUUCCAUAGAUUUGAUAAGUAUCUCAACUUCUGUAAUUCAAUCAUCUCUGAAAAUUCUGAUCCCGGUGCUUGUGGUUGGGCAUAUGGUAUGAAAAUAUUUGAUCUCAAAGAGUGGAAGAAGAGAAACAUCAUGGGAAUAUAUCACCGAUAGCAGGAAAUUAACGAGGAUAGGACAUUGUGGAUAGUCGGUGUCUUCCCCCCUGGAUUGGUCACUUUCUACAAUCUGACUAAAUAGUUCGAUCAGAGGUGGCAUGCGUUUACACUCGGCUAUGAUCCAGCACUCAACCGGACAGAAAUGGACAAUGCAGCAGUCAUUCAUUACAAUGGAAACUGUAAACCAUGGUUGGAUUUGGCAGUCUCCAACUAUUUUGUAAAUCUAUGAUCAGUCUUGAAGGGGAACAAUGCAGCUGUGUAUGCUUAAUAAACCAAUGAAAGAGAAGGAACUUUGCAAUGCAAUUACAUUUCAACCUGACAUUCCUGAGAAUUGCCGACACGGUCUCGCGGGUUAGAGAACUGUCCUCCAAUGGAAGAUGGCAUGAAGUGUUAGUCCACUUUAACGAAGCGAAGUGAGCAGGAAUUGAAAUCACUGAGCCUUCCAUGAUUAAUUCUGUCGUCAAAGCGUCUUUCAAAGCUAUCCGAUAAACAAGGGAAGUCCAUCCAUGCUUGUGUGCUCAAGCAGGGUCUCGAUACAUUCUCUUCCAUCAGCAAUUCCAUCAUGGAUUCGUACAUGAAGUGCAGGGACUUGGAAUCCGCGUUGGGCGCCUUCCGGUCAAUGCAAAGCAGGGAUUCCGUGUCGCAGAAUGUGCUCACUCAUAGGUUUCUUCAUCAGGGAAAUUUGGGAUGAAGGUUGUCAUGAUUUCGGCGAGCCCGAGUUGAUGGAUUCGAACCCAAUGUCUCCACUUUGGUACUGGUUCUCCAGGCGCAUAUGUGGAUGUUGAUAUGGAGCAAGCAGAUGGACUUUCAUACACUCUUGAAGUUCAUCAACGAGUGGAGUGGGCACAUUGAUCUCGAUUCAAUCUUAGGAAUGCAGAGACAUUAUGCAAAUGUGCGGGGAUAGUUUGUUCAAAACAGAGAUGAACAUGAAAAGGCACAAGGUUUCAGGAUGUGCCCGAACAAUAUAUGAUGAAGUAUGAUUACCUGACUUAAUGUGAAAACAUUGGAUCAGCAUUUAAAUUAGGGGGAAAAUCUCUCCUUCCCCUGCCAGUGAGGUGUGUUGAGGCAAAACCAUCAAAUUUAUCACUAAAGGAUGUAUCAUUGAGCCCAAUUAAGUACUGAAAUAACACAUUCUAUUUUCUUUUCUCACAGGGGAAUAAUUGAGGCAAUUCCUGAUGAAUGAAGACAUGAAGCAAAAUGAAAUUGAUUCAACACAAGAAGGGUGUAUCGUUCCUAAAUUAGUCCAAUUCAAGUUUGAAAUGCAAGUAACAUGUCCCAUCUCUUGUAGGACAAGGCGCACAUCAACCGCGGGAGCGACGCCUUCUACCAAGUUGGCAUGCUAAGGCCCAACCAUCCAUUUUGUUGUAAAGGAUGUAUAUCGUUCGUAAAAUGAUUUCUAGUCAAGUGUGAAAAUAACAUGCCCAGUCUUCUAAAUGUCUCUUUGAGCAGAGCAUUCGAAAAGAGCAAGAAUUGAACUUUGUGGAUUAUCAUAUGCAGUAAAGAAAUGUUUUUCAUAAAUAAAAUCAAGGGAUAGAGGCAUUUUUCAAGCAAUCCUGUCACUUUAGGUGAUUUAUGUCAUGCAUAUCAUGCAUAUAUCCUUCAUAAUAUUUUCCUAACAUGUGUUGUCGUCAUUCUUGAUAGGAAAUGUCAGUACCCGAAAAACAAAAACACGUGAAGGGUAAAUUGUAUCGAUUCUAAUUGCUGAUUUUGAUACUGUUUCUAACGUGAUUUUCUUUUCCUUUGAUUUGGAUUACAUCAAACACUUGUAAGAGGUGUGGUACCAUUCUGAUUAGUGGUUCUGUUAAUGGUUACUGAUGAUUAUAACACAAGCUUGUAGGAUUUUUUAGUAGGAAAUGACAAUGAUAGUAGAUGUUCCAAUUAAAAAAGCUAGCACAAAUCGAGAAAGGGAAACAAAUUACUUGUACUUUGAGCUGUUCACAAGGUGAUAUGCUUCUUUUUGGAUUUAUGAGGUUCCUGUGUUUCUCAUAACCAUGAGGAGAGAAAAGGUUUUGGGGGGGGUGGUACAUUGCUAACUUGACGGUACCAUUUGCUUUGUAUCAUUUAUAUAUGAUGAGUUGCCGAAAGAUUGUCUCCCCUCUGAUUAACAUAACUUGUUCUUCACAUGCAGAGUCUUGACCGUAUAAUAUGUCAGCCUUUGGAAGGUACAAAUGCUCAAUACUAGACAUGCAAGCUAGGUUGCUGUUAGACACGCUGGGGAAGGGUAUUGAGUCUGCUUUGGUGUAUCCUCAAGCAUUAGUAGCUGAGCCAUGGUAGGCAUUAAGUGAAAUGUUUUCUGGAUUGAUUCUUGUAGGAGUUAUGUGAAGAUCAAUUUGUUGGAGAUAUGCGAGAUAUGCGAAUAUCAAUUUGGGAUCAUAAUCGAUCUAUAGUAUCGUUUCAAAAAUCAAUUUAGAAUUAGAUUUGAUAUUUUUUAUUUCUUGUAUUCGGUCUUAUUCCUUCUUUAGUUAUAUAUCGAUUGUAUUAUAAAUAGGAGCGUAUUCUUGUAAAGGACGAUUCAUUUAAUACAGAAUACAGAUUUCUCCCAAGUCUCCUUUUUCUUUCAUUUUGUAACAAUCGUGAAGCUCUUCCCGUUGAACUGGCACUUGUCCCAACUAUACAGGUACUUUCACCUUCAUUUUGAUUUUUGCUCUUAGAUCUCCUUGUUGUGACAUGGAAGUUUGAAAUGCGGAUCUUCUGGCUGUGUUUUUACCAUGGCUUGAGGCCGUUAUUUUGAUGACUAUCUUCAUAUCUGGCUUCUAAACUGAAAUUCCUUUAUGGGCACUGUGAUGGUGAAAUUUAUUUACAAAAGAUGUAGGACAAAUAAUCUUUUUAAGUAAAGAAACGUAGCUUUUGCUGAAAAAGUGGUUGCCCAGAUAUCUUUUGGCUUUCAAAUGAUGCUAUGUGAGAAAUAUAUCAAGAUCGUCAUUCGAUUCGUGAAAUAAAUGGCUAUGACAUAUUCUUGCAUAGAGUUGUCUUAAGGUUGCAUUCGCUUUCAAAUCCCAUGCAUUUGUCGUGUAUCCUGCAGCUGUCUCCUCCCCAUAUUGUCGACCUUUUCUUCAAUCAAGACCAUGGGAAUUGAUUUCAGCUGAGACAAAGUAAUGAGAGUAUACAUGUUUCAGACUCUCAAAAGUGUCUCACAGGCUUAUGUUGAUGCAGUUCUUGAUCUGG
Molecule: long non-coding RNA, 16953 nt
Filed under: Eucalyptus grandis
Lineage: Eukaryota; Viridiplantae; Streptophyta; Magnoliopsida; Myrtales; Myrtaceae
Description: long non-coding RNA (EGRA_LNC000016)
Source: RNAcentral